GACGAACGCUGGCGGCGUGCUUAACACAUGCAAGUCGAACGGUGAACGAGGGAGCUUGCUCCCUCCGGGUCAGCGGCGAACGGGUGAGUAACACGUGAGCAAUCUGCUCCGAACUCUGGGAUAAGCGCUGGAAACGACGUCUAAUACUGGAUCCGACGCGGUAGGGCAUCCUCCCCGCGUGGAACGAACUUCGGUUCGGGAUAGGCUCGCGGCCUAUCAGCUUGUUGGUGGGGUAUAGGCUCCCCAAGGCGCAGACUGGUAGCCGGCCUGAGAGGGGGACCAGCCACCAGAGGACUGAGGCACGGACCAGACGCGAACGGGAGGCAGCGGUGGGGAAUAUUGCACAGUGGGAGCAAGCGGGAUGCAGCAGCGCCGCGUGAGGGACGACGGCCUUCGGGGUGUAAACCGCUGUAAGCAAGGAAGAAGCGAAAGUGACGGUACCUGCAGAAAAAGCACCGGCUAACUACGUG
RNAcentral lists this ribosomal RNA (470 nucleotides) under uncultured bacterium. Its description in RNAcentral is "partial 16S ribosomal RNA". It matches the Rfam family "Bacterial small subunit ribosomal RNA", at positions 28 to 507 of the family's 1533-position model. The record is from RNAcentral.